Molecule: long non-coding RNA, 386 nt
Organism: Bos taurus (domestic cattle)
Lineage: Eukaryota; Metazoa; Chordata; Mammalia; Artiodactyla; Bovidae
Source: Ensembl
UCCCUGGUGGCUCAGAGGGUAAAGCAUCUGCCUGCAAUGCAGGAGACCUGGGUUCGAUCCCUGGGUUGGGAAGAUCCCUUGGAGAAGGACAUGGCAACCCACUCCAGUAUUCUUGCCUGGAGAAUCCCAUGGACAGAGGAGCCUGGAUUUUAUCCACUAAUUCAGGAGCAUCGUGGGAGAAUGCAUGACCUGAGCAGUUUUGUGACAACCAUAUGCAUAAAGAUAACUGAUAGUUUGAGAACAUUUCAGCACUCCUUUGGGGAAAUAGUCAAGCCUGAAGUCCAUUAACAGCUAAAAAGGAGAAAGUAAAAGAUAAAAAGGUACCCCCUUACUCCAGGUUAUUUUGAAGCCAUCCUAGACACCGGAGCAUUUCAACUGGAAAAAGU